This is a long non-coding RNA of Spinacia oleracea (spinach), 2114 nucleotides long. RefSeq lists it as uncharacterized. The record is from RefSeq and is a predicted model, not a curated record. NCBI's taxonomy places the organism in Eukaryota, Viridiplantae, Streptophyta, Magnoliopsida, Caryophyllales, Amaranthaceae. The transcript is spliced from 6 exons.
AUCUUUUUUGGGUUUCCCUCUCACUGCUUUUCACGGUUUAGGGCUUUGCGUUCUUGGCCUCUGCGUUCUUGGCCUCUGCGUUCUCUUUCGCCUUCCUCCUCUGCGUUCCUUGAAGCAACAGAUUUUAUCUUCCAUCAUCGUUCCUUUGAAGCAACAUAUAGAAAGUGACGAAAUUCAGUUCUGAAUUUGCGCGAAGAACCACGUUGAUGAUAUUCACCAAGCAGAUUUCUGCAAAAUAACUCCGGCGAAGUUCUGUGGUUCAAAGGAAAUUGUCGCACUUGAGUUCCGGAAACUACUAAAGGAAAGGAGAAUGUCAAUUAUAACCAAGAUGAUCAAGACUAUGUACCUGAAAAUGAUCAUGACUCUAAUGAUGAUGAGGUGGAGAUUUCUCGAGUGAAAAAGGUGGCAACUGAAGCCACAACCAAUUCCGCAGCAAGAUCUAUACCAAAAAAGAAGGCAAGGACGAGAGAACAACCACCUAGGAAGAAUAAGAAGCAACCAUUGUGCCCAUCUAUGGCAAUGGAUGAUUUCCUUUUGACUGAACAACAAAUGGAUCCCGCUCAAGCACUACAGUUACAACAAGAAGUGCAACGAUUGGAACAAGACCGACAAACAGCUAGGCGCCCACUUUCUACUAUUGUUCCAAUGGAAAACCAAGGAGAAAGUGAUCUCUCACAACAAGGUUAUUGUUUUCAAACUCCACCUUUUUGGUUCAUAUCAUAUAUUUUGUUCUGCUAAGUCUUAUGAUAAAAAUGAAUAAAAGAGGCUUUAUACUGAUGACAAGUCAAAAUAUAACAGCAUGCAAAAGUUGUAUAAUCCACUAUCCCCAUGACUUUUUCAUACAAACAUUUAUCUUAGUUAAAAAAGUGGAAACAUACCAAGGCCGAAAUCACCAAUUUUAAUGUUAUUGCGAGCAUGAAAGAAUAUGUUAUUUGGCGUCAAGUCACGAUGAAUGAUUCCUUGUCCGUGUAUGUGUACUAAUGGAAGGUCCUAAAAAGAAAGGCCGAGGCCCGACAAAUUCGUUUGAUGUCCAUGCUCGCAAAUGGGAAGAGAAAGACAACCAGUUGGACCUGAAAAGGGGAGGAAAGAGCUAACCAGAUUCUUAGGAACCAUUGCUCAUGAUUACAAUUAGGCUCCCUUGACUUAUAUAAAUUGGCAAUCAGUUCCAAAUAAGGAUAAAAUAUGGGAAUUCGUGAAGUAUUUUAGAGUAAGUACAUCCUUCCACCUGAAUCUCAAGAUUGGGUAAUGGAGACCCUUGAUCAAUAUUGGAGAGGAUUCAAAUGUGCGCUGAAAAAAAAACAUUAUUAUAAGUAUGACAAUGUUGAAGAUAGAUUGAAUGAUCUUCCAGAAAGAGUGCCUGAAGAACACUACAAGACGCUCCUAGCUUAUUGGGAGACGACCGCAGUAAAGGUGAUCUUGAUGAAAAAUGAUGGAAAACAAGUGAAUUUGAGCCAAAACAGGGCUUGUGCGGUCGAGUGGCGUUUUGUGCGCCCGAACAGGUAGUGCAAAUGGAGUUCAAGGAAAUUCCAGUUUUGUGCGGUCGAAUGCCCUCUGUCAUUCGGUCGCACAAAACGGAUUUAUGAGACAUAAUGUCCCAAGAUUGUAAAACGACCGCACAACCUUGGUAAUUCGACAGCACAGGUUUUGUUCGACCGCACAACCUAUGUUGUUCGACCGCACAAAAGUUGUGCGCCCAAACGGCUUUCCUUGUUCGACCAAAUGGAGCUGCGAAGGAGACUUGAGCCAAAGGAUUCCCAUUCGACCGAACGGGGUUUUAUGCUCGGUCGCACAAGACGAAGAAAAUGAUCUUCGCUGCCUUCGUUCGCACAGGACCCAGCAUGCGCUCGAAUGACUCUUUUACGUUCGGUCGCACAAAAGGUCUGUGCGACCGAAUCGCUGAGCGGGCUGCUCUUUUUCGAACUUUGGCUUCUAUUUGAGGAAACUUAUAAAUAGAUUUUUCGAUAUUAUUUUUAGAGAGUAGAAUUUUAGUUGAUAAUUUUAGAUUCUCAAAGUUAGUUUUUCAGCAAUUCUAGAGAGAGAAACUCUCCUCCAUUCAAGCUUCAAUUUGUAAUCCUUCUAAACUCUUCUUCAAUUUUGCAAUUUAAUUCUUAGUU